GGCCCCGUAGCUCAACUGGAUAGAGUACCUGACUACGGAUCAGGAGGUUCCAGGUUCGAACCCUGGCGGGGUCA
Molecule: transfer RNA, 74 nt
Filed under: Lewinellaceae bacterium SD302
Lineage: Bacteria; Pseudomonadati; Bacteroidota; Saprospiria; Saprospirales; Lewinellaceae
Also listed under: 1 other name
Rfam family: tRNA
About the family: Transfer RNA (tRNA) molecules are approximately 80 nucleotides in length. Their secondary structure includes four short double-helical elements and three loops (D, anti-codon, and T loops). Further hydrogen bonds mediate the characteristic L-shaped molecular structure. tRNAs have two regions of fundamental functional importance: the anti-codon, which is responsible for specific mRNA codon recognition, and the 3' end, to which the tRNAs corresponding amino acid is attached (by aminoacyl-tRNA synthetases). tRNAs cope with the degeneracy of the genetic code in two manners: having more than one tRNA (with a specific anti-codon) for a particular amino acid; and 'wobble' base-pairing, i.e. permitting non-standard base-pairing at the 3rd anti-codon position.
Source: Rfam by way of RNAcentral